RNAcentral lists this ribosomal RNA (107 nucleotides) under Lepisosteus oculatus (spotted gar). Lineage: Eukaryota; Metazoa; Chordata; Actinopteri; Semionotiformes; Lepisosteidae. The record is from RNAcentral.
GUCAGCAGCCAUAUCUCUCAUCUUGCUACCCACUGAAGCUAAGCAGGGUUGAGCCUGGUAGGUACCUGGAUGGGGGACCUCCUGGGAAGCUAUGGUUUCCACUGGAA